Molecule: ribosomal RNA, 440 nt
Filed under: uncultured bacterium
Lineage: Bacteria
Description: partial 16S ribosomal RNA
Rfam family: Bacterial small subunit ribosomal RNA
Source: RNAcentral
CCUACGGGGGGCUGCAGUAGGGAAUAUUGCUCAAUGGGGGAAACUCUGAAGCAGCAACGCCGCGUGGAGGAUGACGGUUUUCGGAUUGUAAACCCCUUUUGUUAGAGAAGAUAAUGACGGUAUGUAACGAAUAAGCACCGGACAACUCCGUUCCAGCAGCGGCGGUACUACGGAGGGUGCAAGCGUUACUCGGAAUCACUGGGCGUAAAGAGCGCGUAGGCGGGAUAGCAAGUCAGAUGUGAAAUCCUAUGGCUUAACCAUAGAACUGCAUUUGAAACUGUUAUUCUAGAGUAUGGGAGAGGUAGGUGGAAUUCUUGGUGUAGGGGUAAAAUGCGUAGAGAUCAAGAGGAAUACUCAUUGCGAAGGCGACCUGCUAGAACAUAACUGACGCUGAUGCGCGAAGGCGUGGGGAGCAAACAGGAUUAGAUACCCUAGUAGUC